Molecule: long non-coding RNA, 200 nt
Filed under: Elaeis guineensis (African oil palm)
Lineage: Eukaryota; Viridiplantae; Streptophyta; Magnoliopsida; Arecales; Arecaceae
Description: long non-coding RNA (EGUI_LNC053958)
Source: RNAcentral
GGCCAGGGUAAUCCAUAAGAUGGAUUUGAAAGGUUGAAAUACAAUGUGGUCGACUUAAUUAGAGUUGAUAGUUAAACCUUAGGUCUCCUUGAGUAUUUGGGUUAACAAGAUGAAUUAUAUGGUAACCAUACGCCAGUAGGUUCUAGAAAAUUGCUUUGCAAUACUUUGACCUAUCCGAUCAUCAGGUCAUUAUUGCUACA